RNAcentral lists this ribosomal RNA (490 nucleotides) under uncultured bacterium. Its description in RNAcentral is "partial 16S ribosomal RNA". It matches the Rfam family "Bacterial small subunit ribosomal RNA", at positions 28 to 507 of the family's 1533-position model. The record is from RNAcentral.
GAUGAACGCUAGCUACAGGCUUAACACAUGCAAGUCGCGGGGCAGCAUGGGGGUUGCUUGCAAUCCCCGAUGGCGACCGGCGCACGGGUGAGUAACGCGUAUCCAACCUGCCCUUCACCACGGGAUAACCCGGCGAAAGUCGGACUAAUACCGUAUGUUGUCCAUUGACGGCAUCCGAUUUGGACGAAAGGUUUGGCGGUGAAGGAUGGGGAUGCGUCCGAUUAGCUGGACGGCGGGGUGACGGCCCACCGUGGCGACGAUCGGUAGGGGUUCUGAGAGGAAGGUCCCCCACACUGGAACUGAGACACGGUCCAGACUCCUACGGGAGGCAGCAGUGAGGAAUAUUGGUCAAUGGGCGUAAGCCUGAACCGGCCAAGUAGCGUGCAGGAUGACGGCCCUAUGGGUUGUAAACUGCUUUUAUGCGGGGAUAAAGUGGCCCACGUGUGGGCUUUUGCAGGUACCGCAUGAAUAAGGACCGGCUAAUUCCGUG